Molecule: ribosomal RNA, 794 nt
Filed under: uncultured Clostridia bacterium
Lineage: Bacteria; Bacillati; Bacillota; Clostridia
Description: bacterial SSU rRNA
Rfam family: Bacterial small subunit ribosomal RNA
Source: RNAcentral
AAAUCUUGACAGAACCCUUCGGGGCGAAGAUAAGAUGGAUUAGCGGCGGACGGGUGAGUAACACGUGAGUAACCUGCCUUAGACAUUGGGAUAGCCUCGGGAAACCGGGAUUAAUACCAAAUGAAAUCACAUAUGCACAUGCAUAAAUGAUCAAAGCUCCGGCGGUCUAAGAUGGACUCGCGUCCCAUUAGCUAGUUGGUGAGGUAACGGCCCACCAAGGCGACGAUGGGUAGCCGGCCUGAGAGGGUGAACGGCCACAUUGGAACUGAGAAACGGUCCAAACUCCUACGGGAGGCAGCAGUGGGGAAUAUUGCACAAUGGAGGGAACUCUGAUGCAGCGACGCCGCGUGAACGAAGAAGGCUUUCGAGUCGUAAAGUUCUUUUAUGUGGGAAGAUAAUGACGGUACCAUAAGAAAAAGCCCCGGCUAACUACGUGCCAGCAGCCGCGGUAAUACGUAGGGGGCUAGCGUUGUCCGGAAUCACUGGGCGUAAAGGGUUCGCAGGCGGAAAUGCAAGUCAGGUGUAAAAGGCAGUAGCUUAACUACUGUAAGCAUUUGAAACUGCAUAUCUUGAGAAGAGUAGAGGUAAGUGGAAUUUUUAGUGUAGCGGUGAAAUGCGUAGAUAUUAAAAAGAAUACCGGUGGCGAAGGCGACUUACUGGGCUCAUUCUGACGCUGAGGAACGAAAGCGUGGGUAGCAAACAGGAUUAGAUACCCUGGUAGUCCACGCUGUAAACGAUGAGUGCUAGGUAUCGGAAAAAUUCGGUGCCCAGUUACACAUUAAGCACUCCGCCUG